This 74-nucleotide transfer RNA is filed under the name Candidatus Nanoarchaeia archaeon. Its description in RNAcentral is "tRNA-Gly". It matches the Rfam family "tRNA". From Rfam's summary of the family: Transfer RNA (tRNA) molecules are approximately 80 nucleotides in length. Their secondary structure includes four short double-helical elements and three loops (D, anti-codon, and T loops). The record is from RNAcentral. Lineage: Archaea; Nanobdellati; Nanobdellota; Candidatus Nanoarchaeia.
GCGCGAGUAGUUUAGCCUGGUUAGAAUGGAGCGUUGCCAACGCUUUGACCCGGGUUCGAAUCCCGGCUCGCGCA